RNAcentral lists this transfer RNA (71 nucleotides) under Hymenochirus boettgeri (Congo dwarf clawed frog). RNAcentral's name for it is "tRNA-Ile". It matches the Rfam family "tRNA". From Rfam's summary of the family: Transfer RNA (tRNA) molecules are approximately 80 nucleotides in length. Their secondary structure includes four short double-helical elements and three loops (D, anti-codon, and T loops). Further hydrogen bonds mediate the characteristic L-shaped molecular structure. tRNAs have two regions of fundamental functional importance: the anti-codon, which is responsible for specific mRNA codon recognition, and the 3' end, to which the tRNAs corresponding amino acid is attached (by aminoacyl-tRNA synthetases). tRNAs cope with the degeneracy of the genetic code in two manners: having more than one tRNA (with a specific anti-codon) for a particular amino acid; and 'wobble' base-pairing, i.e. permitting non-standard base-pairing at the 3rd anti-codon position. Lineage: Eukaryota; Metazoa; Chordata; Amphibia; Anura; Pipidae. The record is from RNAcentral.
GGAAACGUGUCCGAAAGUUAGGAAUCACUUUGAUAGAGUGAACCAUAGGGGUUCAAACCCCCUCAUUUCCU